This 74-nucleotide transfer RNA is filed under the name bacterium. Its description in RNAcentral is "tRNA-Thr". It matches the Rfam family "tRNA". Rfam says of the family: Transfer RNA (tRNA) molecules are approximately 80 nucleotides in length. Their secondary structure includes four short double-helical elements and three loops (D, anti-codon, and T loops). The record is from RNAcentral.
GCCCCCUUAGCUUAGUGGCAAAGCAACGGUUUCGUAAACCGUAGACGCCAGUUCGAUUCUGGCAGAGGGCUCCA